Molecule: long non-coding RNA, 6309 nt
Filed under: Homo sapiens (human)
Lineage: Eukaryota; Metazoa; Chordata; Mammalia; Primates; Hominidae
Description: HSALNT0084928
Source: RNAcentral
GGACGGGGCCGGGCGCGCGCGCGGGCGCGCCUGGGUGUGGGUGCCGCCGAGGGCGGGGCGGCGGUGGCGGCAGGUCCCGGAGCGGGGCGCGCACCGCGGGGCACAGGCGGCUGGGGGCCUUGUGACGCCACAGGCCACGGAGGGGGAGCCGCCCGGGAAAGUGGGUGCGGCCGAGUUCGCGCAGGGGCGGGGCCGGGCGCCGGGAGCUGGGCGGUGUCCCCGGGGGGCUCUGGGUUCCUGGAGGGCCUCUCCGGGACUCGAGGAAAACGACCUUUUCCCUUGCAGCGGCGGGAGAGGGCGAAGUGGAGGACUGCUGCUCGGUUCCGUAUCCAAAAGAGACCCAAGGCUCCAGGCAAAAUAGAUUGGACAUUUUCACUUUCUCAAGCCAGGGCCACCGGUCGCCCAACCAGCAGCCACUGAGGGUGGUAUCGGGGCGCCCCUUCCCCUGGCAGCGUAUUUCAGCCCCCAGAGACAUCCCCCACCUCGGCCAUCCCCAGCGCCUUUGCAGGGACAGCAGCACAACCAUAGCAGAGGUCCUGGGCAUCCUGGAAAUAACGUGCUGGUAUAAAUGUUGGAUUGAGAAAGGAAGAAAAAACAUUUGGGGUCAAUUUGGGGCCCUCUCGUUUGACACGGGAGGAAACACAAGGCCGCAGCGUUGGGGGAAGCUGCUUCCUUUCUCUCUCUUCUUUCUCUCUGUCUCAGGUGCUUCCUUUCUCUUCUCUGUCUCUCUCUCUCUCUCUGCCUCUCCCUCUCUCUCCCCCGUCUCUCCCCCUAUCUUCCCCUCUCUCCUCCUAUCUCCCCCUCUCUCCCCCUCCUUGUGGCUAGGUGAUCUGGCUCAGAAGUGCACGUUGGCCCGCGCGUGCGGGGAGCUGAGAAGCAAGAGAUUGGAACUUUGCACGUGUCAAGCAAGGUUUGGCCUGCUUUGAAGACAGUAAUUUCAGAGCCACUCCGGUCUCUGCGUCACAAGCGGGCAUCAGGGCAGUGGUGGGGCGGCAGGGGAUCCUGAGACCUCCCAUGCCCUCUCUUUGGCCCCGGUGCUUCUGGGUGAGUGUGGGGAGAGAGGAAAAUAGUUGUUUAUGCUUUUCACCAUUUGCAUUUUUAAAUUUUUGUCUUCUUUAAUCUUCCUGGUCUUACUUUUACUCUAGAAUGACAGGUCCUUCCCCCCCAUACUAAGGGUUCUGUCUGCGGAUGCAUCAGGGCAUCUCAUAUCCCUUUACUGGCAACCAGCCUGCCUGCACAGGAUGGAAGGGAGGGCAAUUAAAUUCCCUGCGUCAAGGGAGUCUCUAGGGGAAUGUUCUGUAACGCUCCUCUGGGUGGCCAUUGUAAACCUCUGUGUAUACACACGUGGAAUCCAUUGAUCUGUACAUUCACUGCAGGUGUCUGCACUUUACUGCUUGUAUGUUGUACUUCAAAGGAGUUAUAUUCCCAGAGCCCAGGCAAAGGCUUACUGAGCACCUACCGAGUACACAAAGCAUUGCUAAGCUCUGUGGAUGCAGCUUCCACCCACAGGAAGCUCCCAGUCUGAUGAGGGCCCAGUUACAAUUGUGAUAUCUGCCACAGCGAAGAAGCCUUCGCUAAGUGCUAAGAGAUUCCUUACUUAAACUGUGCAUCCAAAAUUAGGGGAGGAGUGGAGGGAUCAGGUUUCAAGAGCGUUUUGUAAUAAAUGGCCUCUGCCCUAAAUUGUAGGGCCCCCAUUAGUGUGGGGAUUGGGGACAGGGGCAAUAACUGCUGUUGGGAAUUCAACAGGAGAGGAGGCAUGGGGUUGCAGGUGGAGACGCACAGUUCCUUAAGUAACUCACCAAAGGGAAUAGUGGACAUUGAAUGGUCUCUAGUAACAGGAGGCUUGGUUUUUAACUAAAGGUGAUACAGAACAUCUGGCAUUUCCGACUCCCCUUCUUAGGAGUAUCCUGACAACCCGAUGGAAAGUGGCCUGGGUGUCAAGGAAAAAGCAACGUGGAAACAAUUCAGGUUUCUUCCAUAUAAGAGAGACAAUCUUUUCCCAGGUGUGGGUCCUCCCUCUUGGCAGUAGCGGAGAAGUUUUUGAAAGAUAAAUGAUGCUUUUAUUGUGUCAUUUGGCCUUUGUUUGGCGCUUGAUACAGCCCAGGGUUUGCUAUUCUAAAAUCUGUCACUAGACAGAUGUGUGCUGCAGCCAGUGUGGAGAACAUGGGGCAGGAGAGAGGAAGAACCAGGUGUCCCCGUUCCCCAGACCAGUGCUGAUGUGCUACCAGAAAUGGGUUUGCAAGAUUAAUCACCUUCCUCCUGCUUCCCUUGAAUUCUAAUUAUUGUUGUCAGGAUCUGUUGAAGUAGUAAAAGCUGCUGGCAACCAAGACACAUAAAAGCUAAGCUCCAGUUGCUGUGUGUGGUUUCCAACACUUAUUUAUUAUCUCUGUUUAAUAAUAAACCUCCUUCCCCACAGCUAUGUGUUGUAAAGUCUAUCCUUUCUCUCUCUCUCAAAAUUACUAUGGAGAAAAUGCUAUGCAACCUGUUUUGCAUAAAAGGCUGGGCUAAUUAACCUUUCCUUUUCACCUCCGACCUCUAAUACUUACAAACUGUAUGACAGAAGUAGACACUGGCAUAGACAUACAAAUGGUGCUGCUGGGUGGGAUUUUGUUGUUGUUUUGUUGUUUGUCUAAUGAUCUUUGUGAUGCUUGAGUAAUUUAUUCAGGGCUAAGAUUACAGAAACAUAAUGCUAACAAUGGUUGAAAUCAACCUUGUCCCCUAGUUUUAAGAACACGCCACAUUCUUGAACUCCUGCAAGUAAUCUUACUAAGAUUCUCUUCUGAAAUUUUAUUGCUAUAUAUUAGGAACAGAGUGAUUAACACUAGUGAGCUAGAUGAUUUGACAAUAUAUAUCUGAGAAAAGGAAACUGGAAACGUGUCUGAGAAAAAAAAAAGUUCUAGCUACUGAAUGAGAGUUUAGAAAAUGAGACAGCUCCAGUAAAGAAAGUCCAAAUGCACAUAAGAACUCUCUAACAGAGGCCACUCACUUUUCUCAUCUAAGAGUAUGUGGAAAGCUUGUAAUAGGAGAGGAAAAAUUAUGAAUAAUUAAUUCCCACUAUAGGAAGUCUCCUAGGGCAAAAUCAAGCUAAGACUUAGAAUGAUGGGGAAAAGCCCCCUAGUCAUAAUAUUUUGGGGAAAUUUCUUUUCUCUACAAUAUUAUAUAUUAGAAUCUUACAGUAGCUCCAUGAUUCCUUAAACAAAAGGAGGCUCGUUGAUAUGGUUUGGCUCUGUGUCCCCACCCACAUCUCACCUUGAAUUGUAAUAAUCCCCACGUGUCAAGGGUGGGACCAGGUGUAGGUAAUUGAAUCAUGGGUGCGGUUUCCCCCAUGCUGUUCUCGUGAUAUUGAGUGCUUGCAAGAUCUGAUGGCUUUAUAAGGGGGCUUCUCCCUUCACUCAGCACUCAUUCUCUCUCCUGCCACCCUGUGAAGAGAUGCCUUCCGCCGUGAUUGUAAGUUUCCUGAGACCUUCCCAGCCAUGCGGAACUGUGAGUCAAUUAAACCUCUUUUCUUUAUAAAUUACCCACUCUCAAGUGUUUCCUCAUAGCAGCAUGAGAAUGAACUAAUACACUUGUGUAUAUGUUGUAUCGUUUAUUAGCCUGCAGAUAGAAUUUUUUUUGUGUUGGUACUUUUAUUAAACUAAUUCUACCCUCCUCCCCUUGCUAUAUCCUCUGCUCCUUAUUCCUAAGUUUCCAUAAUUUUCUUCUCACUAAGAAAACCUGGAUAGUUCACUCUAAGCACAGAUAAAUAAGAGUAUCAUACAGCAUCAGCAGGCACAGAGCAAUUGGAAAGGAAGGAAGAUCAUCUCCCGGGUCUCUAACCUGGCUUCCAAGGCCCAGCCCAGUGCCUGGCUCACAGAAGGAAUUCACUAUUUCUACUUAUGUUGAAUGUCUGUUGUGCAUAUACAGACGGAAAUAUUCAAACUAGCAUAGUCUGUGUUUGACAAGCAUUCCAUAAGGGAUGUGCUUACCAGAAAGAUGGUGGCCAAGAUGUUGGCCACCCAGAUAUCAGUUGGGGUAUUGCUCCCUAAUACCUAAAAGAAGUUUUUUUUUUAAGGCUUCAAAAUGGUUAACUGAAAAGAACGGAGGUCACAUGACAACAUGAGUAUAUCCCCCAAGGAAGCCUACCUGUCUAUCCCCAGGAAUCUGAACCAGCAGACAAAGCACUGUCGGGUCCUUGCUGCAACCUCUUCCCCCCACCCCCUUUGAUGGUCCUGGUUCUGCAUCAUUGUACUUGCGUAUCAUUCACUCAUUAUUUCAUUGCUUCAUUCACUAGUCAUCAGCCAUUCCUGAAAGACUGACUGUGGGCUUCUGGUAAGAUGAACAGGACUGCUUAUUUCUCUCAUGGUGCUUAGAGUAUAGACAAUGGAUAAAGACCCUGAAGAAGGCGCUGGGCAAAGGGAAUGGGGAAGCAUGGUGUGCACAGUCUGGAAGCAGGAGAGGAGCCAGCCUGGCCCUGGUUGGAAACCUGGAGGAGAUCUAAGCUGGAGGAUGGGGUGGGAGGAGCAGGAGGCUACUCACAGUGGGGCUCCUCCUGUAUGAUGCUAGAAGCUUCUGCUUUGUCCUGAGAGCAACAGGGAGCCAUGGGUGGGCUUGCAGCAGGACACAGAGGGGCUAGCCUGUGUUUUAGAAAGGUAUCUCCAGACCAUGGAGGAUAUAAAGCCUGGCAGAGGGAAGGCACUCUCAGAGACUUUUCCCUUGUCAUUCUCUAGAAUGAGGGAGGAGAAGGAGCCAGUCUGGAAGGGAGGCUGACAAGUUUCAUUUUUAAAAAUUGAUCUGCACUUGGAUAUCUCUGGAGAUGCCAGUAAGGUUGUUGGGUACAGAGGUCUGCAGCUCAGAGACCAGCAGGCAUCCUGAACAAGACAGAUCCAGGCAGACGGAAUGGCCUGUAGGAGAACUUGGCAGAGGGCACAACCAAGAAGAGUUCAAAGGCGCUGGCCAGUUCCAUGCGACUGCAUGGGGUCAUGGGAGAAGAGAUACACUUAAACCAGGGUCCCACAGGCUCAAUGGGUCUCCUUCCAAAAUCAGCUUCCAAUGAGCCCUCAGAUUCUCCAAAUACUGGGCAGCUGGAUUUCCCAGACACCUUCUGCAAUCUGCUGACAUCUAAUAUACCUGUAGACUGUUCUCCUGCUGACAAGGUUGUUCUUGCUCUUAUCCUAUAAAGAAGAGAGGUGGCAGAGAGUUGGAGGGGAGGGCCUCCUUCCCUGGCAUGUCCAUCCGAGGGUCUCCAAGAACAUCCUGGCUGUGGCCCACACCUUUCUGUGUGGUUAGGAGGAGUAUCGGAUGCCUUCUCUUUCCAACCUUGGCUUGUGUGAAGAUGGUGUUAUGGUGAUGUAAGAGGACGGCUCUAUUCUGAGUGAUGCAAGAUCCAACAUUUAGGCAUGAAAUGCCAUGAUGACAGCCGCCUACUUUAGCAAAAGGGAAGUUGUGUGUGUGUGUGUGUGUGUGUGUGUGUGUGUGUGUGUGUGUGUGUUUUUACGCGUAUGCAUAUAAAUAGAGGAAGUCGCUGCAGCUAGAUGGUGAAUCUACGUGAGGAGUAUCUGGCUGUUCCUUGUACUGUUCUUUCAACUUUCUGUGGGUUUGAAAAUUUUCAAAACAAGACAAAAAAUGUUUUUCAAGCACUGUUUGAGAGGAUAGGAAAUAGAAAUGGCUCUUAUUAAAGAGCCAUUCAGAAGACUGUUUUCUUCUAUUUCCUUUUCCCCCACGACUAUGACCCUCAGUGCCAGCGAUUUCUCCUUUCCAUAAACUUUUGUUUGACCUUAAAUCAUUGUGACACCACUGAGCAGGGAAUCUCAAUAAUGGCUGACAUAUCUGGUAGCAAAAGGAAAUGAAGUAUUUUUAUUUUCUCAGGGAACUAAAGGUUAUCUUCUAAAUUCAAAUUUUUUUUUUUUUUUUUAAAGAUGAAGUGUUGCUCUGUCACCCAGGCUGCAGGGAAGUGGUGUGAUCUUGGCUCACUGCAACCUCCGCCUCCCAGGUUCAAACAAUUCUCCUGUCUCAGCCUCCCGACUAGCUGGGACUACAGGCGCGGGCCAGCACACCUGGCUAAUUUUUGUAUUUUUAGUAGAGAAGGGGUUUCACCAUGUUGGCCAGCCUGGUCUCGAACUUCUGGUCUCAAGUGAUCCACCUGCCUUGGUCUCCCAAAGUGCUGGGAUUACAGGCAUGAGCCACUGCACCCAGCCUCAAAUUUCUUAUAUUGAGCUUCAACUAUGCAAGAUCCCAUGAGAGGAAUGAUAUACCAAGAUGAACAACAAUAUGGUCUCUGCCUUCAAGGGGUAUAAAAUCUAACCCAUACAAAUGGGCUCCCAAGCAUUUUUU